CUCCGGUUGAUCCUGCCGGACCUGACUGCUAUCGGAUUGGUACUAAGCCAUGCGAGUCAUUGUAGCAAUACAAGGCGGACGGCUCAGUAACACGUAGUCAACCUAACUCGUGGACGUGGAUAACCUCGGGAAACUGAGAAUAAACCACGAUAGACCAUAGUGCCUGGAAUGGCUUAUGGUCCAAACAGUUUACUGCCAUGGGAUGGGACUGCGGCCUAUCAGCUUGUUGGUGAGGUAAUGGCCCACCAAGGCGAUUACAGGUACGGGCUCUGAGAGGAGAAGCCCGGAGAUGGGUACUGAGACACGGACCCAGGCCCUAUGGGGCGCAGCAGGCGAGAAACCUUAGCAAUGUGCGAAAGCACGACUGGGUCAGUCCGAGUGAUUCCUGAUAAAGGAGUCUUUUGCUUGUCCUAAAAGCACAGGUGAAUAAGGGGUGGGCAAGUCUGGUGUCAGCCGCCGCGGUAAUACCAGCACCUCGAGUGGUCAGGACGUUUAUUGGGCCUAAAGCAUCCGUAGCCGGCUUUGCAAGUCUUCGGUUAAAUCCACCUGCUCAACAGAUGGGCUGCUGGAGAUACUACAAAGCUAGGGAGUGGGAGAGGCAGACGGUAUUCAGUGGGUAGGGGUAAAAUCCUCUGAUCCAUUGAGGACCACCAGUGGCGAAGGCGGUCUGCCAGAACACGUUCGACGGUGAGGGAUGAAAGCUGGGGGAGCAAACCGGAUUAGAUACCCGGGUAGUCCCAGCUGUAAACGAUGCAAACUCGGUGAUGCAUUGGCUUAUGGCCAAUGCAGUGCCGCAGGGAAGCCGUUAAGUUUGCCGCCUGGGAAGUACGGACGCAAGUCUGAAACUUAAGGAAUUGGCGGGGGAGCA
RNAcentral lists this ribosomal RNA (868 nucleotides) under uncultured archaeon. Its description in RNAcentral is "bacterial SSU rRNA". It matches the Rfam family "Archaeal small subunit ribosomal RNA", at positions 1 to 878 of the family's 1478-position model. The record is from RNAcentral.